Molecule: ribosomal RNA, 526 nt
Filed under: uncultured bacterium
Lineage: Bacteria
Description: bacterial SSU rRNA
Rfam family: Bacterial small subunit ribosomal RNA
Source: RNAcentral
CAAGGAAUUUUGGGCAAUGGGCGAAAGCCUGACCCAGCGACACCGCGUGAGGGAAUAAGGCCUUCGGGUUGUAAACCUCUUUUCCUGGGGAAGAAUCUCGACGGUACCCAGGGAAUAAGCCUCGGCCAACUACGUGCCAGCAGCCGCGGUAAUACGUAGGAGGCGAACGUUAUUCGGAUUUACUGGGCGUAAAGGGAGCGUAGGCGGUUCCUUAAGUCGGAUGUGAAAUCUUCUGGCUCAAUCGGAAGGCGCCAUUUGAUACUGAGGAACUUGAGAGCAGCAGAGGGAAAUGGAAUCUGCAGUGUAGCGGUGAAAUGCGUAGAUAUUGCAGAGAACACCAGUGGCGAAGGCGGUUUUCCAGGCUGUUUCUGACGCUGAGGCUCGAAAGCGUGGGGAGCGAAGCGGAUUAGAUACCCGCGUAGUCCACGCCCUAAACGGUGGACACUAGAUAUAGGAGGUAUCGACCCUUUCUGUGUCGAAGCUAACGCUUUAAGUGUCCCGCCUGGGGAGUACGGCCGCAAGGCUG